RNAcentral lists this long non-coding RNA (264 nucleotides) under Elaeis guineensis (African oil palm). RNAcentral describes it as "long non-coding RNA (EGUI_LNC057353)". The record is from RNAcentral. Lineage: Eukaryota; Viridiplantae; Streptophyta; Magnoliopsida; Arecales; Arecaceae.
CAUUAGAAAUAGAUAGUCCGGUACUAAAGCACAAUGAGUUAUUUGUAAGUCACUAUAGUGAUCUCAGGGCUGAGAGAUGCUUAUGCCUAUACUCUUGACAGCAGAGCGCUCAACAGGUGAGUUACUUAUUCAAUGAUGAUGUACUCCUAUAUCUCAUCUGUAUGCCAUACCGGUGUCUCCACACUCCUUGGUUAAGAGGACAACCAACCUAUAUGGCACACAAUGAUCUUCACUCGAUAAAUGUCAUUAUCCUUUAAUAACAUA